ACAAAGGGCAGCGAAACCGUGAGGUCAAGCAAAUCCCAUAAAGUUGUUCUCAGUUCGGAUUGUAGUCUGCAACUCGACUACAUGAAGCUGGAAUCGCUAGUAAUCGUAGAUCAGCAUGCUACGGUGAAUACGUUCCCGGGUCUUGUACACACCGCCCGUCACACCACGAGAGUUUGUAACACCCGAAGCCGGUGGAGUAACCUUUUAGGAGCUAGCCGUCGAAGGUGGGACAAAUGAUUGGGGUGAAGUCGUAACAAGGUAGCCGUAUCGGAAGGUGCGGCUGGAUCACCUCCUUU
RNAcentral lists this ribosomal RNA (296 nucleotides) under Staphylococcus aureus. Its description in RNAcentral is "partial 16S ribosomal RNA". It matches the Rfam family "Bacterial small subunit ribosomal RNA", at positions 1239 to 1533 of the family's 1533-position model. Lineage: Bacteria; Bacillati; Bacillota; Bacilli; Caryophanales; Staphylococcaceae. The record is from RNAcentral.